Molecule: RNase P RNA, 431 nt
Filed under: Pseudomonadota bacterium
Lineage: Bacteria; Pseudomonadati; Pseudomonadota
Also listed under: 1 other name
Description: RNase P RNA component class A
Rfam family: Bacterial RNase P class A
About the family: Ribonuclease P (RNase P) is a ubiquitous endoribonuclease, found in archaea, bacteria and eukarya as well as chloroplasts and mitochondria.
Source: RNAcentral
GGAGCAGGCCGGGGAGCCGCUCCUCGCCGGGGAUCUUGGAGUUCCCGGGGAGGGGAGGAAAGUCCGGGCUCCACAGGGCAAGGUGCUGGGUAACACCCAGCGGGGGCGACCCCAGGGAAAGUGCCACAGAAAUGUAAACCGCCUUUGGAGGAGUAGUCCUCCCGGGUAAGGGUGCAACGGCGGGGUAAGAGCCCACCAGCAGCCAGGCGACUGGCUGUCCCGGAAACGGGGGUCUUUGGGUCCGAGAGACCCGGAACCUAGGUAAACCCCACCUGGAGCAAGGCCGAAUAGGGGGAGAUGAGGUGGCCCGCUGAUCCCCGGGUAGGCCGCUUGAGGCUGCAGGCAACUGCAUGCCCCAGAGAGAUGGCUACCCGCCCGCUCUCCCGCAAGGGAGGCGGGUACAGAACCCGGCUUACAGGCCUGCUCCCCUU